RNAcentral lists this ribosomal RNA (574 nucleotides) under uncultured soil bacterium. RNAcentral describes it as "bacterial SSU rRNA". It matches the Rfam family "Bacterial small subunit ribosomal RNA", at positions 26 to 617 of the family's 1533-position model. The record is from RNAcentral.
GGAGCAACCCUGCGGCGUCUACCAUGCAGUCGAACGGGACAGGUGCACUCUGGUUCGGUGGCGGACGGGUGCGUACCUGAGGAACAUGACCUUCGGCGGGGGAUAGCCGGCCCAACGGCCGGGUAAUACCGCGUACGACCUUUCGGGGACAUCCCUGGAUUGUGAAAGCAGCAAUGCGCCGAUUGAGUGCCUCGCGGCCUAUCAGCUAGUUGGUGGGGUAACGGCUCACCAAGGCGACGACGGGUAGCUGGUCUGAGAGGAUGGCCAGCCACAUUGGGACUGAGACACGGCCCAGACUCCUACGGGAGGCAGCAGUGGGGAAUAUUGCGCAAUGGACGAAAGUCUGACGCAGCGACGCCGCGUGUGGGAUGACGGUCUUCGGAUUGUAAACCACUGUCGGGAGGGACGAAUACGCCGCAAGGCGGGUGACGGUACCUCCAAAGGAAGCACCGGCUAACUCCGUGCCAGCAGCCGCGGUAAUACGGAGGGUGCGAGCGUUGUCCGGAAUCACUGGGCGUAAAGGGCGCGUAGGCGGCCUGAUAAGUAGGGGGUGAAAUCCUGCGGCUUAACCGCA